This 433-nucleotide ribosomal RNA is filed under the name uncultured bacterium. Its description in RNAcentral is "partial 16S ribosomal RNA". It matches the Rfam family "Bacterial small subunit ribosomal RNA", at positions 29 to 507 of the family's 1533-position model. The record is from RNAcentral.
AACGAACGCUGGCGGCAUGCCUAACACAUGCAAGUCGAACGAGACCUUCGGGUCUAGUGGCGCACGGGUGCGUAACGCGUGGGAACCUGCCCUUAGGUUCGGAAUAACUCCCCGAAAGGGGUGCUAAUACCGGAUAAUGUCUUCGGACCAAAGAUUUAUCGCCUUUGGGUGGGCCCGCGUUGGAUUAGCUAGUUGGUAGGGUAAAAGCCUACCAAGGCGACGAUCCAUAGCUGGUCUGAGAGGAUGCUCAGCCACACUGGGACUGAGACACGGCCCAGACUCCUACGGGAGGCAGCAGUGGGGAAUAUUGGACAAUGGGCGAAAGCCUGAUCCAGCAAUGCCGCGUGAGUGAUGAAGGCCUUAGGGUUGUAAAGCUCUUUUACCCGGGAUGAUAAUGACAGUACCGGGAGAAUAAGCUCCGGCUAACUCCGUG